This 253-nucleotide ribosomal RNA is filed under the name uncultured bacterium. RNAcentral's name for it is "partial 16S ribosomal RNA". It matches the Rfam family "Bacterial small subunit ribosomal RNA", at positions 524 to 776 of the family's 1533-position model. The record is from RNAcentral.
UACGAAGGGGGCUAGCGUUGCUCGGAAUCACUGGGCGUAAAGCGCACGUAGGCGGACUCUUAAGUCAGGGGUGAAAUCCUGGAGCUCAACUCCAGAACUGCCUUUGAUACUGAAGAUCUUGAGUGCGGGAGAGGUGAGUGGAACUGCGAGUGUAGAGGUGAAAUUCGUAGAUAUUCGCAAGAACACCAGUGGCGAAGGCGGCUCACUGGCCCGAUACUGACGCUGAGGCACGAAAGCGUGGGGAGCAAACAGG